This 337-nucleotide long non-coding RNA is filed under the name Rattus norvegicus (Norway rat). RNAcentral describes it as "long non-coding RNA NONRATT033390". Lineage: Eukaryota; Metazoa; Chordata; Mammalia; Rodentia; Muridae. The record is from RNAcentral.
CUUCUGUGGUUUUUUUUCAAUACAUGGGGCUUGUGAAAGUAGCCACAUCGAUGGUGUACACGUCUAAAGGGCAUUUGCUGUGCCCACUUUCAAAGCUGUAUUGAGCACUACAUAGAGGCCCAACAAUAUAUUGUAAAAAAAUGUGAAUUCUUUUUGCAAUUAAUAAAGUAUGUUCAAAAGUUUUGGGCCAGUGUAUGCUACAUAGUGAGAUCUUGCUUCAAAAAUAAUCCCUUAAGAAAAUCAUGGAUAGAUAUGUUGGAACAUGUAGGCUGUCAGGAAAAUCAUGAUUCAAAACCUGCCUAGGCUACAUAGCAAAAGCAACAACAUUAAGGAUGGG